GGGGAAUCUUGCGCAAUGGGCGAAAGCCUGACGCAGCAACGCCGCGUGCGGGAAGAAGGCCCUCGGGUUGUAAACCGCUUUCAGAAGGAACGAAACUGACGGUACUUUCAGAAGAAGGUGCGGCCAACUACGUGCCAGCAGCCGCGGUGACACGUAGGCACCAAGCGUUGUCCGGAUUUAUUGGGCGUAAAGAGCUCGUAGGCGGUUCGGUAAGUCGGGUGUGAAAACUUUGGGCUCAACCCAAAGCGUGCACUCGAUACUGCCGUGACUAGAGUUCGGUAGGGGAGUGGGGAAUUCCUAGUGUAGCGGUGAAAUGCGCAGAUAUUAGGAGGAACACCGGUGGCGAAGGCGCCACUCUGGGCCGAAACUGACGCUGAGGAGCGAAAGCGUGGGUAGCAAACAGGAUUAGAUACCCUGGUAGUCCACGCCGUAAACGUUGGGCACUAGGUGUGGGUCUCAACCAACGAGAUCCGCGCCGUCGCUAACGCAUUAAGUGCCCCGCCUGGGGAGUACGGCCGCAAGGUUA
RNAcentral lists this ribosomal RNA (526 nucleotides) under uncultured Actinomycetes bacterium. Its description in RNAcentral is "bacterial SSU rRNA". It matches the Rfam family "Bacterial small subunit ribosomal RNA", at positions 356 to 896 of the family's 1533-position model. The record is from RNAcentral. Lineage: Bacteria; Bacillati; Actinomycetota; Actinomycetes.